UCCUCGGUAGCUCAAUGGUAGAGCGACCGGCUGUUAACCGGUUGGUUCGGAGUUCGAGUCUCUGCCGAGGAG
This 72-nucleotide transfer RNA is filed under the name Chloroflexota bacterium. RNAcentral's name for it is "Chloroflexi bacterium (anaerobic digester metagenome) tRNA-Asn". It matches the Rfam family "tRNA". Rfam says of the family: Transfer RNA (tRNA) molecules are approximately 80 nucleotides in length. Lineage: Bacteria; Bacillati; Chloroflexota. The record is from RNAcentral.